This 961-nucleotide long non-coding RNA is filed under the name Takifugu rubripes (torafugu). Its description in RNAcentral is "lncRNA (ENSTRUG00000032347.1)". The record is from RNAcentral. Lineage: Eukaryota; Metazoa; Chordata; Actinopteri; Tetraodontiformes; Tetraodontidae.
CCCCGGAUUAGGCAAGGACAAACCUGUUUCAGCGUUUGUUAUGAUGCUUGCAGCAUAUGCCUAAUUAGAAAAAAAAAAAAAGGCAGAAGCUGUGAUCGGCUUGAAAAAAACAAGCUGUGAUCGGCUUGACAAGCCGGUGCAUUCCUGUCGACACCUUUUGGUUCGCAACUGUUAAUGAAAGCCAUUUCCUAUUAAAUAAUAAAAUAAAGACGCACCUCUAGACUCCCUGACAGACAAAAAGCGCUGACGCGUCACUUUUACGCGAAUGCAAAUGAUGGCUGCGUGUCACUAUCACUUAUUCAUGAGGAGGCCCUGCGUGUCGUGGCGGGUUUACCUGCGCCAGGGAAGCUCUUUCCCCUCCAUCGUGGCGCAGCGCUGAGAGAGUUGUCAGUCUCCGGGAGUGACGAGAAGACAGGAGCGCAAGAAAAACAACAAGAGCGCCACUUGUUUCUUCAGACGGGUCCGGUUUAAAGAACUGAAUAAUGCGGCUCGUGACCUCGUUGUCCGUCGUCGAGCAUUGAUCGGAACAGAUAUAGUGAUAUCAACGUCAUGCAUGAGCCUAUAAUGGGAUUGCCUGCAAAUAGAGACGUUGGUGAAACCCUGUUCGUGGAGAGGAGAGAGGCUGAAGAGAUCAAGGGUUGCUCCGGCGAUGGUGUUGGUAGGAUUGGUCUCGAAAACGUUGUGAAUGUGAGACGCUUGGCCUCCUAGAUCAAAGGCCGGAGGUCUGGCCGCCAUCCCCGGAACCAGAACUUCCUUAAAGACCCAGAAUGGUCUCUUUUGCACUUGUAUUUGUUGAUUGACAUUGACCCUGAGAUCAAUCAUAGCUGCAGACUAGUAAGAUUUAAUAUUGAUCCUUGCUCUUUUUCACAUCUGUCAACAGGAACAGGGUGGCAUUUGCUCGACCAAGGUAGUUUUCUCUGUCAACUGGACUGGGUUUCUUCUCUUGAAGACGUUUCGCCUU